RNAcentral lists this transfer RNA (17 nucleotides) under Aegilops speltoides. RNAcentral's name for it is "partial tRNA-Cys". Lineage: Eukaryota; Viridiplantae; Streptophyta; Magnoliopsida; Poales; Poaceae. The record is from RNAcentral.
GGCGGCAUGGCCAAGCG